Molecule: RNase P RNA, 458 nt
Filed under: Actinomycetota bacterium
Lineage: Bacteria; Bacillati; Actinomycetota
Description: RNase P RNA component class A
Rfam family: Bacterial RNase P class A
About the family: Ribonuclease P (RNase P) is a ubiquitous endoribonuclease, found in archaea, bacteria and eukarya as well as chloroplasts and mitochondria. Its best characterised activity is the generation of mature 5'-ends of tRNAs by cleaving the 5'-leader elements of precursor-tRNAs.
Source: RNAcentral
CGAGCCGACCGGGCGGCCGCGGCAGGGCAGGGCCGGUACGACGUACCGCCUCAUCUGCUGAGGAAGGUCCGGACUCCGCAGGCAAGGUGGUGGCUAACGGCCACCCGAGGUGACUCGCGGGAAAGUGCCACAGAGACAGACCGCCAGCGGCUCCAGUGCAAGCUGGAGUGCGGGUAAGGGUGAAACGGUGGUGUAAGAGACCACCAGCACCUCGGGCGACCGAGGUGGCUGGGUAAACCCCACCUGGAGCAAGACCAAGAAGGACACGCUGGCCUCGGUCGGCGUGUCCGCGCAGACGCCGAGUGUCGCCCAGCGACGCUCGAGAGGGCAGCCUGCCCGAGUCUGCGGGUAGGUCGCAUGAGCGCUUCGGCAACGACGCGCCUAGAUGGAUGGCUGCCGGGAGCUGGUCCGAAGGGACCCGCUCACCACAGAAUCCGGCCUAUGUGUCGGCUCGCCCG